RNAcentral lists this long non-coding RNA (258 nucleotides) under Capsicum annuum. RNAcentral's name for it is "long non-coding RNA (CANN_LNC007769)". Lineage: Eukaryota; Viridiplantae; Streptophyta; Magnoliopsida; Solanales; Solanaceae. The record is from RNAcentral.
CAGCAAUCAAUUGUGGCAUAACAAGACGCCAACCAGUCCAUACCCAUUAUAACAUCAAAAUCUACCAUUUCUAACUCCACAAGAUCAGCCAUCGUAUCACGACCACAAACAGUUACUAUGCAGUUUCGAUAAACCCUUCUAGCUAUAAUAGAUUCCCCAACCGGUGUGGACACUUCAAAUGGCUUAACUAACAGUUCAGGUAUUCUUUUGAACUUUCCAGAAACCAAUGGAGUAACAUAAGAUAAUGUAGAACCGGGA